Molecule: long non-coding RNA, 1895 nt
Organism: Mytilus californianus (California mussel)
Lineage: Eukaryota; Metazoa; Mollusca; Bivalvia; Mytilida; Mytilidae
Exons: 7
Source: RefSeq, a predicted model, not a curated record
GAGAUACAUCGAAAUGAUGUUGUAAUGAAGGAAAGGCAUUUUAAUUAAACUAUGAAUAAAAAUAAUGAAUAAUAAAGUCUCGGUGACCGAUUUUACAUUUACCAAGUCAUUUGAUCAUGAACAUGGUAACUCCAGUACAACAAAAUGUUUUCUAUGAUUUAAAAUAGAAGUCAUUAUGACAGCAAUCAAAACGAAUUCUUCUGUCCUUGUAAUAUGUAUAAUAUGUUUGCUCAUUAAUGUCAAUCUUGUAAAUGGUUUUUCUAAAGACAGUGCUUGUGGUGGGACACAUGGAUGCUGGGGCGAUUGUGAUGGAGGUUGCUCCUACUUACUUAUGUGGACGCCUGCAGGUUCCGGUGUAACUUUCACGAUGAAAGUCGUAUUAUCGUCAAAUGCUGAUCAAUGGGCAGGUUUUGCAUUAUCAACAACUGCAUCAAUGCAAAGUUCCAGUGUGACAUCAUGCCUUAUGACAAGUAGCGGUACUUCGUUUGUUCCAGAGAAUUCUUAUAACGCUGCAUCUGGAAGGACAAACACCGUUGUAUCAAAUCCAACAGAUGGUUUAACAGGUACCUCGGCAAGUUACACCAGCAACAUUCUGACAUGUGAGUUGACAAGAAGCAACACGAAUUCUGACCCGCAGGUUUUUAAUCUUACUACAGACUACUAUAUACUGUUUGCGAAAGGGACAGUCACAGGAGGAACCAAAGACCAGCAUUCAUUUACUGACAAAACCGGUUCAGUGGUUGACUUUCAGGCGACAGAAGAUCUCGCUGGGGGUGUGGCGAUGAUAAAACCUUUCACAUCAAUAUUGAUCAUGUUAAGCGUCUCUCAAAUUGUACUGUUCUCUAUGUAAAUACUAUCAACGAAUAGAAGAAAACAAUUUGCAAAUAUUUUGUACUAAAUAUGGAAUCAUUUUUAUUCUUUUAGACUUCUUUAAGAAAUGAAUUAGAAUUAUAGAUUUAUUUACAAAUUGAAGAAUCUGUGAUAUCACAAGUAAAGAUAACUUUUGUACACAAACUGCAAAAAUUCUAUUAUAUUUGACACAUUUUAAAGUCAUAUGUCACUCCUAUAUAUGACCCUGGUGGUAUUUAGUGGACAUCAUAUUAAUUUCUUCGUCAUUCGAAAAACAUCCGAGUUGAAUAUUUUUUGAAAGAUCGAUACAUACCUAUUUGGUGUUGAAAGCUAUAGAUGUAAGAAGUUAUAAAAAAUCUCAAAAAGUCAAUGUCGGAAGCAAAUUUCUAAAUUCAAUUGAAAUGUUAAAAAAUGAAAACAUCCCUUUACUUAAAAAUACAUGACAGAUUUUGCUUCUAUACAGGUUAUGUUUCGCUAUCGGAUAUGUCAAUUUACGCAUGUGAAGUUAUUUUCUUGAAAUAUCAUCGCGGCUGUUCCUAGAAUGUAACAAUGUCCGUAACAGUUUAUUUUAUCAGUUUAAUUGGUUGUGAAUCAAAACACUUUAUGCAUCAGUGUCAACAUUUAUAAGUAUGUAGUUGUUUUGAAAGAAGAAAAAACUUUGCAUUCCAGUUUAUAGAUAUACAUGUAUCUUGUAUGUACUGAGGAAAACAAUGAUUAAUAAUUAUCUUUAAUUUCAAAAAUAUUUAUUUAUUUUAUUUUAUUGGCAAUAUAUCUUGAAAAUAAAAAGCAAAAAUCUUUUAAAAAAUCAUGCCAAGCAGCUAUGUCUCCGUAGCGCUGUUUUCGUCAAUACUGAGGAAUCGUUAGAGAUCUUUUGUUUUCAUGCAUUGCAUUUUUUUCCCGUAAAUUAGAUUUAGAUAUCUUAUUAGACAGUACUGAAUGCUGUGAACAACAAUACACAUUAUAUAUUAUAACACACAUUAUAUCAUUCCGUUACGGAUCGAUAUUAGAAUUUUGAAUUUUAAUUAAUAAAAUAGUCAGAAAACUAA